UACGCGCCAGCCGCGGGUUCGGCAUGCGAU
RNAcentral lists this small RNA (30 nucleotides) under Bombyx mori (domestic silkworm). Its description in RNAcentral is "ovarian small RNA-6121". Lineage: Eukaryota; Metazoa; Arthropoda; Insecta; Lepidoptera; Bombycidae. The record is from RNAcentral.